This 96-nucleotide transfer RNA is filed under the name Phycisphaerae bacterium. RNAcentral describes it as "tRNA-Sec". It matches the Rfam family "Selenocysteine transfer RNA". Lineage: Bacteria; Pseudomonadati; Planctomycetota; Phycisphaerae. The record is from RNAcentral.
GGGAGUGGAUGUCGCCCGGUGGCGGCCCUGGUCUUCAAAAUCAGUGGGCGGUGGCGAGCAGCCGGCGCCGGUGGGUUCGACUCCCAUUCAUUCCCG